RNAcentral lists this ribosomal RNA (478 nucleotides) under uncultured bacterium. RNAcentral describes it as "partial 16S ribosomal RNA". It matches the Rfam family "Bacterial small subunit ribosomal RNA", at positions 28 to 523 of the family's 1533-position model. The record is from RNAcentral.
GACGAACGCUGGCGGCGUGCUUAACACAUGCAAGUCGAGCGAUGAAGUUCCUUCGGGAACGGAUUAGCGGCGGACGGGUGAGUAACACGUGGGUAACCUGCCUCAUAGAGGGGAAUAGCCUUCCGAAAGGAAGAUUAAUACCGCAUAAGAUUGUAGUUUCGCAUGAAACAGCAAUUAAAGGAGUAAUCCGCUAUGAGAUGGACCCGCGUCGCAUUAGCUAGUUGGUGAGGUAACGGCUCACCAAGGCGACGAUGCGUAGCCGACCUGAGAGGGUGAUCGGCCACAUUGGGACUGAGACACGGCCCAGACUCCUACGGGAGGCAGCAGUGGGGAAUAUUGCACAAUGGGGGAAACCCUGAUGCAGCAACGCCGCGUGAGUGAUGACGGUCUUCGGAUUGUAAAACUCUGUCUUCAGGGACGAUAAUGACGGUACCUGAGGAGGAAGCCACGGCUAACUACGUGCCAGCAGCCGCGGUAA